RNAcentral lists this ribosomal RNA (253 nucleotides) under uncultured bacterium. RNAcentral's name for it is "partial 16S ribosomal RNA". It matches the Rfam family "Bacterial small subunit ribosomal RNA", at positions 524 to 776 of the family's 1533-position model. The record is from RNAcentral.
UACGGAGGGAGCUAGCGUUGUUCGGAAUUACUGGGCGUAAAGCGCACGUAGGCGGCUUUGUAAGUUAGAGGUGAAAACCCGGGGCUCAACUCCGGAACUGCCUUUAAGACUGCAUCGCUUGAAUCCAGGAGAGGUGAGUGGAAUUCCGAGUGUAGAGGUGAAAUGCGCAGAUAUCAGGAAGAACACCAAUGGCGAAGGCAGCUCUCUGGGACGGUACUGACGCUGAGACGCGAAAGCGUGGGGAGCAAACAGG